CAGGAUGCUUUGCUGCAAGAGCAUCUGAAUGAGCUAAAAGCAAAACAUGAGCAAGACCUACAGAUAAAAAUCAAUCAAAUUAUAUUGGAAAAGGAGGAGGAAAGCAAAGAGAUUCUGGAGAGUGCUGUCGCCAAAGAGAAGGACAAGUUCAAGCAAUCUGUGGAUGAAGAAAAGAAAAAGAUCCAAGACUUGGAAAAUCACCUGAGAAGUAUGACUGAGGUAAUUGAAAUGAAGUCAAAAGAGCAGGAGGUUGUAAAUGUCAAACUACGAGAAGCUACGGACAACCUAGAGGAAACUGGGAAGCGAGAGAUCAUGUUAAAGCAGCAGUUACUCAUGCAAGACGAACAGCUAAAGAUCACUCAGGAUGAGAACGAGUUACUGAAGCAGAAAAUUCAGAAAGAAAUAGUGGAAUAUAAGGAACAAAUUAAGCAACAUUCCCAGACAAUUGUUGCACUAGAAGACAGAUUGCUGAAGGCCAAGCAGGAGCAGAAGACUUUAGAAGAGGAAAAUGCAGCGCUCUUGGAAAAAAUAGAAGGAUUUCAGGGUGAUCCCUGCAGAUCCUCAUCAGGUGCUUCACUAGCGGUUUCUCAUACAGAGGAGUCUCCCGGUUGUCUUAUAGAAUUAGCAGCUGCACAGAACACAAUCCUGUCCAAAGAGGCUGUCAUUGUUGGAUUAACA
This 678-nucleotide long non-coding RNA is filed under the name Apteryx owenii (little spotted kiwi). RNAcentral's name for it is "lncRNA (ENSAOWG00000010548.1)". The record is from RNAcentral. Lineage: Eukaryota; Metazoa; Chordata; Aves; Apterygiformes; Apterygidae.